AACGCUGGCGGCGUGCUUCAGGCAUGCAAGUCGAACGGACCUUCGGGUCAGUGGCGGACGGGUGAGUAACACGUAAGCAACCUGCCCAAAAGUGGGGAAUAACCCACCGAAAGGUGAGCUAAUACCGCAUGUGAUGGGUCUUCUCUGGAGGAUUCAUUAAAGGCUUCGGUCACUUUUGGAGGGGCUUGCGCUCGAUUAGCUAGUUGGUGGGGUAACGGCCUACCAAGGCAACGAUCGAUAGCUGGUCUGAGAGGACGAUCAGCCACACGGGGACUGAGAUACGGCCCCGACUCCUACGGGAGGCAGCAGCUAGGAAUCUUGGGAAUGGGCGAAAGCCUGACCCAGCAACGCCGCGUGGGCGAUGAAGGCCUUAGGGUCGUAAAGCCCUUUUGCGAGGGACGAUGAUGACGGUACCUCGCGAAUAAGCCAUGGCUAACUACGUGCCAGCAGCCGCGGUAAUACGUAGGUGGCGAGCGUUGUCCGGAUUUACUGGGCGUAAAGGGCGCGCAGGCGGUUUGUUUAGUCUAGGGUGAAAGCUCCCGGCUCAACUGGGAGAGGUCCUUGGAUACUGGCAGACUUGAGGGAGGUAGAGGAAAGUGGAAUUCCCGGUGUAGUGGUGAUAUGCGUAGAUAUCGGGAGGAACACCAGUGGCGAAGGCGGCUUUCUGGGCCUUUCCUGACGCUGAGACGCGAAAGCGUGGGGAGCGAACCGGAUUAGAUACCCGGGUAGUCCACGCUGUAAACGAUGAACACUAGGUGUGGGGGGUAUCGACCCCCUCCGUGCCACAGCUAACGCAAUAAGUGUUCCGCCUGGGGAGUACGGCCGCAAGGCUAAAACUCAAAGGAAUUGACGGGGGCCCGCACAAGCAGCGGAGCGUGCGGUUUAAUUCGUCGCAACGCGAAGAACCUUACCAAGGCUUGACAUGCUAGUGGUACCGAUCCGAAAGGUGAGGGACCCUUCGGGGAGCUAGCACAGGUGCUGCAUGGCUGUCGUCAGCUCGUGCCGUGAGGUGUUGGGUUAAGUCCCGCAACGAGCGCAACCCUUAUCCUAUGUUGCCAGCACGUUAUGGUGGGGACUCAUAGGAGACUGCCGGGGAUAACUCGGAGGAAGGUGAGGACGACGUCAAGUCAUCAUGCCCCUUAUAUCCAGGGCUGCACGCAUGCUACAAUGGUCGGUACAACGGGCAGCGAUCUCGUGAGAGUGAGCGAAUCCCUUAAAGCCGGCCCCAGUUCGGAUUGAAGUCUGCAACUCGACUUCAUGAAGCCGGAGUCGCUAGUAAUCGCGGAUCAGCUAAGCCGCGGUGAAUACGUUCUCGGGGAUUGUACACACCGCCCGUCAAGUCACGGAAAUCGGCAAUACCCAAAGUCAGUGGCCUAACCCUUCGGGGAGGGAGCUGCCUAAGGUGGGGUCGGUAACUGGGACUAAGUCGUAACAAGGUAGC
Molecule: ribosomal RNA, 1441 nt
Filed under: uncultured prokaryote
Description: partial 16S ribosomal RNA
Rfam family: Bacterial small subunit ribosomal RNA
Source: RNAcentral